UACAGAGGUCUCAAGCGUUGUUCGGAUUCAUUGGGCGUAAAGGGUGCGUAGGUGGCGCGCUAAGUCAGGUGUGAAAUCUCGGAGCUUAACUCCGAAACUGCAUUCGAUACUGCCGUGCUUGAGGACUGGAGAGGAGACUGGAAUUUACGGUGUAGCGGUGAAAUGCGUAGAUAUCGUGAGGAAGACCAGUGGCGAAGGCGGGUCUCUGGACAGUUCCUGACACUGAGACACGAAGGCCAGGGGAGCAAACGGG
RNAcentral lists this ribosomal RNA (253 nucleotides) under uncultured bacterium. RNAcentral's name for it is "partial 16S ribosomal RNA". It matches the Rfam family "Bacterial small subunit ribosomal RNA", at positions 524 to 776 of the family's 1533-position model. The record is from RNAcentral.